CUCAUGUUUUUGGUAGUGGGUAUUUGUUCCUCAAGUCGCUAUUUUUCUCUAUUUUCCAGCACACCCAUUUCGAUUCCUUGCUUAUUUUCUAUGUUACAACAAGUUUCCUGUAUUGUACCCUGUUUGGUAGCUGAGAAAAUUGAGGAUAAAUGGGGUGGAAGGAAUGUUGUAACUGUGCAAACGCUGCUGUUGUGUUUUGAUAAUUGGAAAACAUAGACAACUAGUGGUAUAAAAGACUUAUUGGGUGGCAAAAAUGCUUUUGUUUGUUUUUUUCUUUUUGGGGUUCUGUGUUCAGACUAAGCAAAGAUAUUUGAGGAAUAAUUUAAACUGAUGGUAGACAACUAGUUGUAUAAAACACUAAUGAGGUUGCAAGGUUGCUUUGAAUUUAGUUUCCUUCAUUCAUAGACCAAACUAGGCUAUUUGUUAGCUAUUUAAGUUAUUAUCUUGGAGUUUAUGUUACUGAGUUUGGUGUGGAAUGCUAGGCUUGAUUGAUUACAAUUUUGUAGUGAUAAGGAUGAAACUGGAAAUGGAUUAAGUAGAGAUUGAUAGUGAAAAAUUGAGAUACACCCAUCUUCUCCAGAUUUGGGAAAAAUAAAAUGAAUAAUAGUACAUCUAAAACAUAGGAGUAUAUGUCUUUCCUUUGACUUGCUUGUUUGCACAUUGUAUGUUGUUGAUGAUUUUAUUUCGUUCUUGUUGACUUGUUAUUAAAUGAAGAUAUUGACAUGUAUACAUUCUACAAUUAAUUUGAUCCCUGCUUUCUUUGGAAAGUUUGAGUUUGGCCGAGAGCCUUUCACUGCAACUGGUUAACACUUCCUAGUGUUUCUAACGUAAACAUCCAGAGUCCAAAUCCCCCUCCCCUGAUUAUCGAAUUAUAUUUGGGAAGUUUGAGUUUGGCAUUGACUAUUUGAACAUCCAACCUUGUUUUGAAGUGGGUUUCUUAAAUGCAUGCAAACUUUUAUGAACUAUUUGCAAGCAUUCAAUGUAGAUAUAUCUCUCUAUCCCUGAUAAUGAACAAUGGGUGGCUAAGGAAGCAGUGUUAGUUGACAGACUUGCUUAAAAUAAUUCAUAAAUGUUAAUUACUUUUAUCUUACUCAAUUAUCCUUUUUGUGGAUCAUUUUGGGGUCAGAACGAGACAUAGAAACUCAUAAAGGAGUUGAACUAGGUUGAAAAUAUAGAUUUGUUGUUUGCCUCCCACUACAAAGAAGGAACACUUGAUUUUCCAAUGCUUAUUUGCACCGUUUAUUUAGUUGCUAAUCAAUGGUUUCCACUGGUGAAAGAUCAAUGUGAAGAAUAAUUAACUAAAUUGACAUUGAUUUCCAAUGAGUUCUAGCUCAAGAAGCACUUUCUUUUCCCAUAAGAAUGGAUGGAGGGUGAGGGUGCGUGGGUAACUUACGUUUUAAAAAAGAAAACAAAAUAAUUACUAAUUGUACAAAAUCUAAAGGUGAGGUUGAGGAUUCAGAGUCCCACCCACUUCUGUAACUUGCCAUUAAACAAAGGCAAGCAAAUUUGAAACAUUUUACAUGGUUAUUAUAGGACUGUAUGCUUUUUUAUAUGAUUGGGCUGUAUAAAAAUUUCAUUUAUUUAUGUUUAUGAAUAUAGUAUCUUAUAUUAUGCUCAAUAUGCAUGCUAAAUGCUUCAGUAUUAAUUGAAGUUGCUUUCGUAUUGAGUUUGGGUUCAUAUGUAAUUCUCUUUUUUAUUAUCUUGAUGUGGAUUAGCACAAUGCUUGAUACUCAUCUUUUUGUCACCUGUUAAUAGUCACCAUUUAGACAGCUCUAUCAUCUGUGAACCUUGGCCAAUAAUAGGCUAGCUCAACAGUUUAACAUUACUAUUAAGAGAGUGUGGUACUUGUUAUAUCUUAGCCACGCUUUUGGCUUUUAUCGAUGACUCUGCAGAUAUGUCAUUAUCCAAGCUUGUUUGCUACUGAGACAACAAUUAGAUUAUUAUAUUUCCUUUUGAGAGUAUAUUCAUGGUUGUGUGCAAAUCUUUCAGUUUGUCCAUGCUUUCAGAGCUCAGAUCCCUGUAACUAACCCAGGAAGGUAUGUGAUGUUUAUCAUAUUUAUGAUAUCAGUUAUGAACUUAUGAUGCUUCCUACAAAUAAUUGUGAGUGCUAAAUGUAUUUGCAUUGUAGACAAUCAGUGGGACGACUAUGUUACCUUUAUAUUUGCAAAAAAUUUUGUAUGGUAAAAUGAAUUCACAUAAAACUCAAUUUAGUGGUUGAAGGACUCAUUAGCUCUUACUAAUACAUGUCUUAACAUUGAUGACAAUUUUGCUUAUAGUUCAUUUCUUCUAGCUCAGGGACUAAUCAUAAUUUUUGCAAUUCCUCCAUCUAGGUCUAUAGAACAAUCACAUCUAACCUUACUACCUUGAGCUUUGCUAUUAUCUCGCUCUGUACACUUUAGUAAAAUCAAAUACGGUGAAAUUCCGUAAAUAUUGUAUAGCAAUGGAUAAAUGUUGGAUGGACAAGAGGAGGGAUUCGAUGGAAUAUGUUCAAGGUGUGGUCAAAUUCGUGGAGUUUGCAUCUCUAACUGCACGCAAUGGGAAGAUCUUAUGUCCUUGUAACCACUGUGUGAAUAUGAAAUUAUUACUGCCCAAUGUUGCACGUGAUCAUUGUUGGACUUGGGGGAUGCUUAAAAAUUACAAACUUUGGAAAUUUCAUGGGGAAUCGGCGGCUGCAACGAAGGCUACCAAAUGUGGGAGUACUCAUGUGCAAGAAAACCUAAAUCAAUAUGGUGAUUUCUGUGGGAUGUUGCACGAUUUGUAACCCACGCAUGAAAUGGCACCCGAACCAACGGAACAAGGUGAAAGUGUACAACACAACCAGCUGAAGGUUUGAAUGAUGAUGCAAAAAAGUUUUACAAUAUGAUACUCCCCACCCCUCCCUCCAAAAUGUUUAUAAUACUAAUAUUCUACUAGUCUCCUCAAAAGUUCAAAUUACUUUGAAAAAAAGAGUGCAGUGGGCAGUGGCAGUGGCAGUAUGUAUCACAUGACAUGCAAAUCUUAUCAAGUGACCAAAAGUGGGUGAAUAAUGUUGGGGGAUCCAUAAAAUUACAUUAUCAAGGUCCACUAAAGAUUGUGUAUCAUUUUGUGUAGUUUCAUUUCAUUUCUUUUCUUUUUAAAUAUUUAAUUCAAGUCAAAAUGAUGAUCAAUGUGGGUGAUCUCUAUGAAAGACCUAAAGUGCCAACUCAACUGUGGACACCUUACAGUUAAUCCAAAAGUGGGUGCAGUCGAAAUCAAUAGAGGCGGCAAUAAAGCGUGCAGUUGUUUAUGAAAAAGUCUACAAUGCCAAAGAUGGGACUCAUGUUACUGUCCGAGCGAGAGAGAACAUAGCUAGGAUGAAAGAAAUUUUGAAUGAAGAGGGCACACCACUACAAGGAGAUAGUAGUGGUGGAAUCCUAUGGUCCAAUGAUGAUGCGUUUGCUCGAGUGAUGGGUCCAGAGCGCAGUGGACGUGUACGUGGGGUGGGUUUUGGACAAACCCCAUCAAAUGAAACGACCCAGAGGAUUAUGCAAUUGGAGACUGCAUUUGCAUCUAUGAAGGAGCAACUAGCCCAAUUAGAUGCGAGGCAUGAAGAGCAACUCGCCCAAUUAAAAGCGAGGCAUCAAGAGCAACUCGCCCAAUCACUAGCCCAAUUAGAAGCGAGGCAACAAGAGCAACUCGCCCAAUCACUAACCCAAUUAGAAGCGAGGCAACAAGAGCAACUCGCCCAAUUAAAUGCGAGGCUUCAAGAGCAACUUGCCCAAUUAGAUGCGAGGCUUCAAGAACAAAUGAGAGAAGUGAUGUCGCAAAUGAGAGAAAUGCUGUCCCAAUUAAGCCCACAUAUGCGUUCUUCACAUCUUUUUCAGAAUGAUGAUGAUUUUGAGGAUUGAUGGGGACUCUCUACAACUGACGUUGAUCAAUGCAUAAAGUAGGAUAGUUAACUUCUUCUUUUUUUGAGAAAAGUAAGAUAGUUAACUUAGUUCUUAUAUUUUUGGGAUUUAGGAGAAUUAUUACUCAGUUAUUGCUGAUCAUGAGUGAAUAUCUUAGGAUAUCUGUGUUAAUUUGAAUGUACAUAAUUUAUUAUUUUGAUAUGUUGGUUUGUCCACUGAUUUAUUUAGAUGGACAGAUUGAUAAACUACUAAACAA
Quercus robur (English oak) is the source of this 4122-nucleotide RNA transcript. RefSeq lists it as uncharacterized. The transcript is spliced from 5 exons. The record is from RefSeq and is a predicted model, not a curated record. Lineage: Eukaryota; Viridiplantae; Streptophyta; Magnoliopsida; Fagales; Fagaceae.